This 273-nucleotide ribosomal RNA is filed under the name uncultured bacterium. RNAcentral's name for it is "partial 16S ribosomal RNA". It matches the Rfam family "Bacterial small subunit ribosomal RNA", at positions 1220 to 1500 of the family's 1533-position model. The record is from RNAcentral.
ACGUGUUACAAUGGCAGGUACAGAGGGGUGCUACCGGGUGACCGGAUGCCGAUCUCGAAAACCUGUCCCAGUUCGGACUGGAGUCUGCAACCCGACUCCACGAAGUUGGAUUCGCUAGUAAUCGCGCAUCAGCCAUGGCGCGGUGAAUACGUUCCCGGGCCUUGUACACACCGCCCGUCAAGCCAUGGGAGCCGGGGGCGCCUGAAGUCCGGGACCGCGAGGACCGGCCUAGGGGCGAAACUGGUGACUGGGGCUAAGUCGUAACAAGGUAAC